This 73-nucleotide transfer RNA is filed under the name Capra hircus (goat). It matches the Rfam family "tRNA". Rfam says of the family: Transfer RNA (tRNA) molecules are approximately 80 nucleotides in length. Their secondary structure includes four short double-helical elements and three loops (D, anti-codon, and T loops). Further hydrogen bonds mediate the characteristic L-shaped molecular structure. tRNAs have two regions of fundamental functional importance: the anti-codon, which is responsible for specific mRNA codon recognition, and the 3' end, to which the tRNAs corresponding amino acid is attached (by aminoacyl-tRNA synthetases). tRNAs cope with the degeneracy of the genetic code in two manners: having more than one tRNA (with a specific anti-codon) for a particular amino acid; and 'wobble' base-pairing, i.e. permitting non-standard base-pairing at the 3rd anti-codon position. Lineage: Eukaryota; Metazoa; Chordata; Mammalia; Artiodactyla; Bovidae. The record is from Rfam by way of RNAcentral. RNAcentral also lists the same sequence under 1 other name.
UCCCUGGUAGUCCAGUGGCUAAGACUCUGCCCUCCCAAUGCAGGGGGCACAGGUUCAACUCCUGGUCAGGGAA